Molecule: non-coding RNA, 106 nt
Organism: Capsicum annuum
Lineage: Eukaryota; Viridiplantae; Streptophyta; Magnoliopsida; Solanales; Solanaceae
Source: Rfam
UGAUGAUGAUGUAGACAGUCCUAAAGAAGAGCUUUGAACCUCUUCCAUGCAUGAUAUAAGUUUUCAUCUAUAUUUUUUUAAAGUAUGCAAUCUCACUGUGCAGUCU